This is an RNA transcript of Danaus plexippus (monarch butterfly), 3626 nucleotides long. RefSeq lists it as uncharacterized. The transcript has 6 exons. The record is from RefSeq and is a predicted model, not a curated record. Lineage: Eukaryota; Metazoa; Arthropoda; Insecta; Lepidoptera; Nymphalidae.
AUGGCACAUUAUAUCUCAAAAACGUUUAUGUGUAAAGAGAAAAUGUUAAGGUUCUUCUAUCAAUAAAAAGUGACAUUUGCAAGUGAAAUGUUUUGGUGUAGAAUCGUUAUUUCAUUUUAGACAUUAUUUAUACAACACGAAAUAUAUUUGUAAAUAUAAGACUCUUUACACUUUAUUCUUGACAAAUACUAAGUGUAUCUUUAAAAAUGUCACAACAAAAGGAAAAAGCAAGUCUUAGAAAGGGUCCCGUAUCAUUACCUAGAGAAGCAGGAAAAUAUUAUGUCAGAUUUAUGAGAGCAAUAGUUAAACAUUAUAAUUCAUAUUACUUUAUAAUAAGAAUAUAACUAUGUACAUCGUUUGUGGAAGUGCACUUAUGGACAUCAUUUUCAAAUGACUCUUUAACAUAAUAAAUUUUAUAUUUGAAUCACCCUUACAGAGACCUCGUUAUAUUGGAACACGUGAAGAACGGUUUGAGUUAAAUAAGAAAGGAAUUUUGUUUUUUAUUAUAUUAUUCUUGUGGAUAACAGCUGGCUGCCUCCGAAACCAUAUAUAUAAAAGAUACACUUGGCAGAUUUUAGAUCGGGCACAACUGAUACUCUGUGUUUUUUAUUCGGUAACAUUUCUACAUUUAGUUAUAACAUAUGACGAUCGACCCAUCAACUUUAUAGAGCAUGAUUACAAUUUUACGAAUUUAAUGGUGUGGCUCAUGUAAUAUUUUCAAGAAGUAAAGAUAAGGUAAGAAGGAAUUGUCAUGAAAAAUAAGUAGAAAAAUACUACAUUUAGCAAAAGAGUGUAUUUUCGUUUUCGUAUAUUUUCUUAUAUUUACAACCAAAUACAUUUUUACAAAGCAGACCAAUUAUAAUGAAAACCUGACUAUUUUACAUUUUUACAAAGUAGACCAAUUUAAUGACUGAGUUAUAUCAAAGUUGUUCUAAUAUAAGACGAGGGAAAAAUUCAAUAUCCAAGAGUAUAAAAACAACUCGUAACUUUUUAUCGAUUAGUUAGAUUUUAAUAUUAUGUAAUUUCAGAAUUAUAUUUUAUAUAUAACAAUCUACUGAUUACUGUCAACAAAAAAAAUAAUUAUAACUCUGAAAACACAGAAAAACAAAAUAAUCAAAGAUUAAGACAACUUGCAGAUUAAAAUCGCACCUAUAUAGAUAUAUGUAUAUUGAUCUCUAUAUAUAAAUAUAGGUGUUAUUUUAAUAUAUAGAGAUCUCUAUUUUAUUCAUAUUUAUGUAUACUACAGCAGUCUUACCAACACGAAGCUAUUAGGUAAUCAUUUCCCUAAACGAAUCCAAUUUCAUCACCCACAAACAUAAAGUAGGGUAGAUAUAAAACGGCUAGUUAUUUCAAACGAGUAUUCGCUAAGCUUAUAUGCAGGCCAUCACAACAAUCAUACCUAUUCGUAAGACAGUUUCGAAAAAAACGCACUUACACUUUGUCCUUAUUUUAAUUGAUGCGGUUAAGUCAGGUUUUGGCAAAAUUCAACGAAGACAACGUCGAAACGCUAACGUUAAGAUCUUUACUCGUAGUUGAAACUUUAAAUGAACUUCCGCACUAAUGACAAAUUCUGACAUAAGUUUAUAUUAUGUUUAGACUAUUUUUUUUUCUAUAAACUAUGGCUUCAUUUUUAGACUAAUUUUAUUCAGGAUCUUGAAGUAAUUUAGUAACAAUAAAUUUAAAUUUCCGAAUUAUUCCCCCAAUAUCCAUAUUUUCUAUAGAAGAUGGAAUAAAAAAAAACGAAGCAAAAAAUGUUAGCUUUAAAUGAUAUAAGGUAUUUCAACACCAAUCAUGGAACUCUAUGAGUCAGGGUUUUUUGAGAAAGCCUUAUUUAUUUCUACAGAGUAUUAUAGUUGGCGUAGUUGGCAUGUGAUAAACAUAUUAUAUAUCAUUUCAACACAAGGCAAUUUUCAAAUUAGUUGAUUUAUUGGAUGAAUAAAAUUAAUUACUAAUUAUAUUAAUGCUACUUAUAGGUUAAUCCAAGUUUUCACAGUGCCCUGAUUAAUUUUUCGAAUUCAAUAUUUUAUUUACUAAGAGCAUCGACGAGUUACUUAUGUAAAAAAUAUGGAGAAAAUUGGGUAAACGCUUCACUCAUAUACUUUAAUUACGGUGGGUAGUUUAUGCCAUGUCUUAGUUUGAGUUUUGAUUACAAUUCAUUUUUAUGUAUUAUUUUUUCUUAUAAUUAAUUACCUAGGAAGUGCAUCGAUUUAUUUCACAUGGCCUAUUUAUUUUUCUACGAUAUACGGAGGAAGUUUUUUUGUCCUCUUAUUUUUCGCUUUAAACGCCAUUGUGGACUAUUUCACGUUUGUAUGUUAUUUAGUUAUUAAAUAAAAUACUCAGUUUUUCAAGUCUUUUUAUGUGUUAUUAUUAUUUUUGUCAUUACAGUUGAUCACAUUUCAAUGUCUUGUACAAACUCUCUUAAGCGAAUGGAAAAAACUUAAGCCAUGGUGUGCUGUUUGUAUUAUUCUGCUUGCAGCAGUUGCGGAAUAUUUAACAAGUGACACGAUUUCUAAAUUUAGUUUUAUAUCUUGGACGUGCCUAUCAACACUCUCAGAAACAAUCAUUGUAUUCUGGUUAUAUCCUAUGGGUCGAUUGAUCGAAGACAUAACAUUCCAUUUUGGACUUCCACCAACUAAACUACGAGUAUGGAGCUUUGUGGUUCUUCCAAUAUUUUACUCUUACAUACGAUCUCAAGCGCCAAGAGAAGUCAGUAGCUAUAUAACUGAGAAGAUAGAAAAGACAUCAUAUAAAUUGGAUAUUAUUUACGAGGAGUCGAGACAGGGACUUACUUUUGAAGAUGUUAAAUUAUAUUAAUACCUACUGUUUUAAUUUAUUUGUAUUUAUUUGUAUUAUCUGUAUUAUUAACCAUCCAUCUUAAAAAAAUAUAGAUUUUCAAUCAAUUGUUUUUCCCUAAUUUUGGGUCUGUUUUAAUAUAACUAAUUUAUAUGAAAGUUUCCAAAAGGAACAGAUCUAAGCCGGGACUUGUUAAUAUAACAUGUAAUGUACGUAAUAAUUUCAAGUUUAAUUUGACUCAAUAUGGAAAUUUUAUGACAAUACGUUUUUGGAAACAGUAUUAUUGUAGUAAAACUUAUUGAAUUGAAAAUAAUAGUAUUUUUUUAUGAGAAAGGGGGGCAAACGAGCACAUGGCUUACUUUUUAUUAUUUCAAUUUUAUUAUUUCAAGAAAUGAAAUCAGCCCUUGUUUUGAUUUACUGAAAUUCAUUGACCCAGAAAGAAAAUUUUAAAACUGACUCGGCACUGUAUUAAAAAGUUAAAAAUUAAGGGUAUAAUACGAAUUUUAAGAAACCUAACAAAAACCCAAGCCAGAAAAUUUAAAUUAACUAUUAUGUAAUAAUUUUACCUACGGUUUUUGUGACCUUCCUUUUCAUUGCUAAAAAGGCGAAACCUUAUAUUAAACAUAACGGUUGUAACAUCGACGGAAAACAUAUUAUAAUAAAUAAACAAUAAAGUGUAUAUUCAUUUUUCUUCGAUAAUUUUUAUGAAAGUCUAGGGAUUGCCUUUUUUGUAACCUAGUAUAAAAUAUAAGCAAGGUAAAUUCAUAACAGCGAUUUUCAUUCGCGAAUUAAAUAUAUGUGUCAUUUAAAAUUCCUUUUAAGCUAAAAAAUAA